RNAcentral lists this transfer RNA (68 nucleotides) under Gametis jucunda. Its description in RNAcentral is "tRNA-Ala". It matches the Rfam family "tRNA". Rfam says of the family: Transfer RNA (tRNA) molecules are approximately 80 nucleotides in length. Their secondary structure includes four short double-helical elements and three loops (D, anti-codon, and T loops). Lineage: Eukaryota; Metazoa; Arthropoda; Insecta; Coleoptera; Scarabaeidae. The record is from RNAcentral.
UAGGGCUAUAGUUAAACAUAACAUUUAACUUGCACUUAAAAAGUAUUGAACCAAUCAAUUAGCCUUAA